UGACGAAACAGAGAAGAAACAGGGAGAAAGAAAGAAAGAAGAAAAUAAGGAAAAUAGGGUUUUGAGGCUUGAAAUUUAAUUUGCUAACAAAGAACCCGAGGCAUCAGCAUCAAAAGGAAAAGGGAAAGCUAUCGAGGACUAAAGCGGGAGAUUUACGGUCGAUAGAAGUCAAAGGUCCCGGUUCAGCAUCCAGAUUAAUCGCGACUUCAGCAUAACUUUGGUGAUGUAUAUUUUCCUUUGGGUAAUGUGGCAUGUACAUAGGAU
This is a long non-coding RNA of Gossypium raimondii (Peruvian cotton), 264 nucleotides long. RefSeq lists it as uncharacterized. Lineage: Eukaryota; Viridiplantae; Streptophyta; Magnoliopsida; Malvales; Malvaceae. The transcript has 3 exons. The record is from RefSeq and is a predicted model, not a curated record.